This is a long non-coding RNA of Felis catus (domestic cat), 1674 nucleotides long. RefSeq lists it as uncharacterized. The transcript is spliced from 2 exons. The record is from RefSeq and is a predicted model, not a curated record. Lineage: Eukaryota; Metazoa; Chordata; Mammalia; Carnivora; Felidae.
AACAUCUGCCCCAGGACUAUUGUGUCCCGCUCGCUCCGGCCCGCCGAACGGUUACAGGAGCGCGCGGGGACUGGUACUGCCGCACGCUGAGCCCAGCUCCUUCCGCGGGAACUGGAGAAGGGGGCGUGCCUCGCCGCAGGACAUGCUGAACCCUGCCCCACCUGGCCUGACAUGCCUGACCACCUUGAAACAUCUGGCUCUACUCUGCCCAUCUGGGGUUGGAGGCGCCCCUGCUAGCCCUGCACACCUGAUCACGCCCCAUUCGUCUGGACAGGUCAGGCUCCUUCCCACCUGUCUAUGUGCAGUAGGCCCCACCUCACCUGGCCCACCCCUCCUAGCCUCAAUGAGCUCCUCCUGGACACACUGACGCCCCCACCUGGCCCUGCCCAGCUCUACCCAUGCUCACCCGGGCCCGCAGCUGGCACUGACGCAGCCGGCACUUCUGCCGGAUCUUGUUGGGGCCCCCAAACUUCUUCAUGUCCCGACAGAAGUCACAGUGGCCACAGUCCUCAGUGCGCCGGCAGGCCUCGCACUCGCCACACAUGCGGGCUGACCGUUUGAUCUGCUGCUGCUGUUGUUGCUGCUGCUGCUGCUGCUGCUGCUGGUGAUGCUGGGGGAAGGGGCCCGGAACAGAAAUCAGGAACCCAAGGAGGGCCUGACACGGGAUCACCCUACCUAUCCCAGCCGUGGCAGCCACUCACCUGGCUGGGUGUGGCCACCAAGGGCUGUGGAGAGGAUUUGUGGGGCGAAGCAGAGCCCCGAGCAAGCAUCGCCCCAACCCCUGUCCCUGACCCCGCCCGGCGCUGCAGAUCUGGAUCCGGGGCAGGCCUCUUGCGCCCUCCACCCUCAUCCCGAGGCUCACUGCCGUCUCGCUCAUUGCUGUCCCGCUCCCGUGACUUCUUGUGCCGAUAACGGAUUUCCAGCUUGGGGUCUUUCUCUGCGGGGCAGACAGUGGGACCAGGACAGGUUAACAAUGAGGGAUUUGGAUGGUCCCAGAACUCUUUCUUCCUCUUCUUUUCUGUCCCACUCACCUGCUCUGUCCCCCUACUCCAGGGCAGGCUAACCCCUCUGGUGGGACCCUGUGUUUGGGCUCACAGUGGAGUCUCCAUUCCAACUCACCACAAACCAACAAUCACCCGUCACUACUCCCUAUGACCCACCCUCCCUUUAUGGAUUCUCCCUCAAGGCAGGUGGACCUGCCUGCCCUGUCCAGGCACCCCCCCCUCACCUCGGCAAUCCCGACAGUACCACUCCCGGAUGGCCUUGGCCAUCUUCUCAGUGAUCCGGAUGCAGUCCCCAUGGAACCACUCAUUGCAGUUGUCACACCCGCUGCAGAGGAUGGGGUGAGUGGUGCAGAUGUGAGGGGCCGGACCCAUCAGCCUCACCCAACCUUGCAGGUGUCAGCCCCACCCUCCUCUCCCCGGCUCACAUCAUGAAGCAGUUGAUAUCUGGUUUGCGGCAGAUGCAGUAGAUGGGUGCAUUCUCCCCAUUCUCCGAUUUGCUGUCCUCUCCAGCAUCUGGAGGCUCUGGGUCUGAGCCAUCACCCUCCUGUGGGACCCCCCCCCAUCAUGGCUUCUUAGAGAACCCCUAUCAUGGUGCCUCAUUCCUUGCUACAGCUCCAUCGUGGCUCACCACAAACCCCAACAUUCUGCCAAUAAACUUUCUAUCACAGUU